Melospiza melodia melodia is the source of this 1510-nucleotide long non-coding RNA. RefSeq lists it as uncharacterized. The record is from RefSeq and is a predicted model, not a curated record. The transcript has 3 exons. Lineage: Eukaryota; Metazoa; Chordata; Aves; Passeriformes; Passerellidae.
UGAAAAUAUACUCCAUGCUGGAUUCAGCUCUCUUUAUUUCUCUUUUCCUUUUGCUGCUGCUGAGUUUGAUCUUUUCAACAUGGCAGUACUGCUAUAUUUGCACAGUUGGACAUCCACCAUAAAUAGCCUUACAUUGUAACAAGGCUAGGACACACAAGAAUGGCUCCAUACUGGCACACCUAUUCUAUUCCUGGGUCUGGAAUGUGUUGUCCUUGGUGGAACUACAGGGACCUCUGUGUUGAUCUCUUCUGUGCAAUGGGCCCUGUGCUGGUCCUUGAAUGGCAGCUGCUUCAGGAGGGUUCCUGCAAAGCACCAUGGCACAUCAACCCUCGUCUAGACCUGGGAGCAAAUUGUUAAGAAGAUUGAGGGCAAGAUCAGCAUCUGUUUGAAUUCUAGGUGAAUGGUUUCUUCUAAAGGGACUGUGGUUUGGGAGGUGUUACCAGCUGGAACCACUUGGGAUUAUUACUCUUUUAGGUAAGCACAUUAGUCUUCAGCCAGACUGCCUAGGCUUAGAUAGUUCUGUGCAGAAUUGGGCUGUUAAUACACAUUGUGCUUAGGCACAAUGGCUUUUUACCCUGCUAACGUCCACAAGUGAUUUCUUCAUUCUACCUUCUUGAAAAGUGCAAUAUUAAAUAUGUUCUCUACAAAGCUGAAAAAGUGUACCCUAUUUUCACAAGCUCCUUCUUUUCCAUUGGCACAAGAAAAUGCAAGUAACUCUUGGAAAGUUCAUGUAUGAUGAUGUAAUUUUAUGCAGAAAAACGUAUUUUCUGUUACAUCAAAAUCAGUGAUGAUUAAUUAUGCCUCAGAGUGGUCAGGUUUCUGGUCUUGCAGGAAACAGCUUCUCAUAUUGUAGGGACAUAUAAGCAUCUUUUCCAAAGAAGUGUGAGAGUGCAUGUAUGAGUAUGCCUGCUUUUCUGAUCCCUUUGUUGAUUGAUAGUAUUUCAAUAAAGAAAUAGUUCUCACUCAUUUUCAUAUUAAUUAGUCAAAAAUAACUUACCUGUCACUCACACAUGACUCAGGGAUGCUGCUCUGCCCCUUUGCAAAGCACCAGUGUGGUUGCGCACCAGAGUUUGUCGGGCUGGAUCAGCGACCAGCUAAGACUAUAAUUUGUGGCUGGAGCAAGAUCCACUACAGCACUGGUUUUAUUUAAAACAAAGACCCAGGCACAUGCUACAUAUAUGUGUUAUGCCAUCAUUGGAUGAUUCAUGUUAUUCUCUGAAAAUAUAAUGCAUCAUUAUUUAUUCUAAAACAUAAGUGAUUUGGUUCUGUGUCAAUUUUAUUUGCCAUCAAUACUGUUUUCAUUUUUGAUGGAACCUUGCCAACCUUUCCUGUUCUCCUUGCUCUAACCAAGGCCCUGAAAGCUGACUUUCACAGGCUGUCUGUGAUUAGACAGUGGAGUCUCUGUAAGUGUGGUCUCAUAUGAGCAGCUGUAUGUUUUUCUGUAGAGGGAACUUGUCAUUAAAGAACUGAGAAGAUGAGUGGGUGGUACCUUGGACUGUUUUUCUUUUAA